GAGCAUAGUAUCACUUGGAUACUGGAGGAGAAGGACUUCAUUUUUAGAAGCAAUUCAAGGGUGCUGAAUGUCUCCAAAGACAGCAGGAUUGUGAUGAGAGGGAGGAGGUUGAGGAGUCGAUUGUACCAGAUGGAGGGAUCUGUUGUGUCUGAAGAGGUCGAGGUAAUUACUUCAGCCAUAGAGGAUCAGCCAGAGAUCCAGUCAGUACAGAUUGGAUAGUUGAUGGCAUGUUUAUCGAAGUUACCUAUUGUGGGGUCACUGAAUC
This 265-nucleotide long non-coding RNA is filed under the name Elaeis guineensis (African oil palm). Its description in RNAcentral is "long non-coding RNA (EGUI_LNC028369)". The record is from RNAcentral. Lineage: Eukaryota; Viridiplantae; Streptophyta; Magnoliopsida; Arecales; Arecaceae.